Molecule: ribosomal RNA, 580 nt
Filed under: uncultured bacterium
Lineage: Bacteria
Description: partial 16S ribosomal RNA
Rfam family: Bacterial small subunit ribosomal RNA
Source: RNAcentral
CAGAACCUUACCUGCGUUUCGACAUACAUGGAUUAGCAGGUCGAAACAUUCGUGAGGCCCGCAAGGGUACAACAUGAACAGGUGCUGCAUGGCUGUCGUCAGCUCGUGCUGUGAAGCGUCGGGUUAAGUCCCUUAACGAGCGCAACCCCUGUCGUUAGUUACUAACAGGUAAUGCUGAGGACUCUAGCGAGACUGCCGGUGUCAAACCGGAGGAAGGCGGGGAUGACGUCAAGUCCUCAUGGCCCUUACAUCCAGGGUUGCACACGUGCUACAAUGGUGCGUACAAAGCGAAGCAAGACCGCGAGGUGGAGCAAAUCGCAAAAAACGCACCCCAGUUCGGAUUGCAGGCUGAAACCCGCCUGCAUGAAGCCGGAAUCGCUAGUAAUCGGGGAUCAGCUACGCCCCGGUGAAUGUGUUCCUGAGCCUUGUACACACCGCCCGUCAACUCAUGGGAGCCGGUAGCGCCCGAAGCCGCUGUAUUUCAGCAGCGUCUACGGCAAGAUCGGUGACUGGGAGUAAGUCGUAACAAGGUAGCCGUAGGAGAACCUGCGGCUGGAACACCUCCUUCUAGACUGCAGAA